RNAcentral lists this long non-coding RNA (210 nucleotides) under Elaeis guineensis (African oil palm). RNAcentral describes it as "long non-coding RNA (EGUI_LNC017448)". Lineage: Eukaryota; Viridiplantae; Streptophyta; Magnoliopsida; Arecales; Arecaceae. The record is from RNAcentral.
AGCCCAGGUAUCUAUCAUCGGAUGACCUUGGUAAUCAUACGAGGCACCCCAAUCUCUGUAAAUGCACUGCAAAAUUGAUUUUGAAUAAUAAAUGUUAGACUCUACAAUGGCUAAAUUUUAAACAAAUUCAGUGAAGAUAUAGUACUUACCAGUGGCGCUGAAUAUGGAUGAGCUCUCUAUCCUCUGAUCAGAUUAAAGGUACCACGAGCC